UCUGCCUCACUGCCCUGCAACACCACCAGCUGCCGUAGAACUGCCUGCCUCACUGCCCUGCAACACCACCAGCACUUUUGGAGAUUCGGCAUCGGCUCCUCUAUCUAGUCGGCACCUCCCGCUCCCUCCAGAUUCUUCAAGUAAGUUAUGAAUAAAGGGAUAUUCCUUGCUUUUCAUUGGCGGCAGGGGACUGAAAGGGAAUGGCUGUCUCCAUUUGAACAUCUGCUGCCCUGAUGGAGGGGAGAGUGGAGCUGAAGGAGUGAGUAGAAGAGCUUGAGCACAAGUGCAUCCAAGGGGAGACAGGCCGUGCUGCUUUUCCAUGCCCGUAUGUGCCAGUGGGGGGCACUGAGCAUACAGCCUUCAUGCCAUGAUGGGGAAUGGUGGGAGGAUCCCAAGAAUGCCCAUUAGAACCUCAGUCUGUGAGCCCAGUAUGAGAAUGCUCUGGGGAGCAGCCAUACCCGCACAAGGAGUUCUCCCACUCCCUCCUCUUC
Molecule: long non-coding RNA, 491 nt
Organism: Xenopus tropicalis (tropical clawed frog)
Lineage: Eukaryota; Metazoa; Chordata; Amphibia; Anura; Pipidae
Exons: 4
Source: RefSeq, a predicted model, not a curated record